UCAGAUAAAACCUAAGCAGGGCCUGGGUCUGGUCAGUACUUGGAUUGGAGACAGCCUUGGAAAAAUAAGCAUUGAC
This 76-nucleotide ribosomal RNA is filed under the name Salvator merianae (Argentine black and white tegu). Lineage: Eukaryota; Metazoa; Chordata; Lepidosauria; Squamata; Teiidae. The record is from RNAcentral.